GACGAACGCUGGCGGCGUGCUUAACACAUGCAAGUCGAGCGGUAAGGCCCUUUCGGGGGUACGACGAGCGGCGAACGGGUGAGUAACACGUGGGUGACCUGCCCUCAGCCCUGGGAUAAGCCCGGGAAACUGGGUCUAAUACCGGAUAUGACUUCAUGACGCAUGUUGUGGAGUGGAAAGCCUUGUGCGGCUGAGGAUGGGCCCGCGGCCUAUCAGCUUGUUGGUGGGGUGAUGGCCUACCAAGGCGACGACGGGUAGCCGGCCUGAGAGGCGACCGCCACACUGGGACUGAGAUACGGCCCAGACUCCUACGGGAGGCAGCAGUGGGGAAUCUUGCGCAAUGGGCGAAAGCCUGACGCAGCGACG
Molecule: ribosomal RNA, 366 nt
Filed under: uncultured bacterium
Lineage: Bacteria
Description: bacterial SSU rRNA
Rfam family: Bacterial small subunit ribosomal RNA
Source: RNAcentral